This 468-nucleotide ribosomal RNA is filed under the name uncultured bacterium. RNAcentral's name for it is "partial 16S ribosomal RNA". It matches the Rfam family "Bacterial small subunit ribosomal RNA", at positions 28 to 507 of the family's 1533-position model. The record is from RNAcentral.
GACGAACGCUGGCGGCGUGCUUAACACAUGCAAGUCGAACGGAAAGGCCCUGCUUUUGUGGGGUGCUCGAGUGGCGAACGGGUGAGUAACACGUGAGUAACCUGCCCUUCACUUUGGGAUAACUUCAGGAAACUGGGGCUAAUACCGGAUAGGAGCUCCUGCUGCAUGGUGGGGGUUGGAACGUUUCGGCGGGUGGGGAUGGACUCGCGGCUUAUCAGCUUGUUGGUGGGGUAGUGGCUUACCAAGGCUUUGACGGGUAGCCGGCCUGAGAGGGUGACCGGCCACAUUGGGACUGAGAUACGGCCCAGACUCCUACGGGAGGCAGCAGUGGGGAAUAUUGCACAAUGGGCGGAAGCCUGAUGCAGCAACGCCGCGUGCGGGAUGACGGCCUUCGGGUUGUAAACCGCUUUCGCCUGUGACGAAGCGUGAGUGACGGUAAUGGGUAAAGAAGCACCGGCUAACUACGUG